CAAAGAGAAGAAGAAGAGGGUCUUCUUCUAGAGUUGCUGGGUUCAUCUCUUCCCUUCCUCCAUCUGUAAAUUUUUUAAAAGUGUCUCAUCUAAAACUUCUUCUCCUACUUUUCAUCUUUGGAAGAGUCCAAAUCAAGAAGAAGGAGGUAUCUGAUCGACCAUCGAAGAAGGAUCAGCACAGUACUAGCAUACUGUGCUGAUUUUCUGGACC
This 211-nucleotide long non-coding RNA is filed under the name Elaeis guineensis (African oil palm). RNAcentral describes it as "long non-coding RNA (EGUI_LNC074432)". Lineage: Eukaryota; Viridiplantae; Streptophyta; Magnoliopsida; Arecales; Arecaceae. The record is from RNAcentral.